RNAcentral lists this long non-coding RNA (740 nucleotides) under Bos indicus x Bos taurus (hybrid cattle). Its description in RNAcentral is "lncRNA (ENSBIXG00005025950.1)". The record is from RNAcentral. Lineage: Eukaryota; Metazoa; Chordata; Mammalia; Artiodactyla; Bovidae.
ACUAAGGGAUUUUUGUGGGGUAAAUGCAGUAGCUGUUUGGCUUUUCCAGCUGACUGGUUGCCUGGUGGCCUUCUUCCUUAUUUGGAUCAGGGGAACAAGGAAGUCAAGAGAUAGUGAGAGCAGGCGUGGCAUUCGGGGAUUAGCUGGAGUUCUCUGCGGAUCUCUGAGAAGAGAUGUAAGUUUCUGUUUCUGGAGGUAGUUUUGUUUUUCUUUAAGUACUUGCAUUGACUGUCUCCAUUUUGUCCCUGACAUGGAUGACUCCAUUUUAGUUUGGUUCUACCUUGUAAUUUCAGGAACUGGCUCAGAGUGGACCCACUUCUCUUGCCUCUGAGGUCUUGUGCUGAUUGAGUGCUUCUGUGUUCUGCCUUCCAGCCUCAUAGACAAAGGAGGAUUAGGGGUGUCUGAACUCCACACAGCUUUGUCUGGGAAGUGGAUCACAUCCAGACUGGUGAACUCUGGGACCCUGGGUGUAGUGUGGAGGCCAGGAGCGGAUGGACCUGGAGUUCUAUGUGCUUGGGCUUGGUCUGGAUGGGCCACUGCUGCUCUUGGACUACCAAGGAUGCACCAAGGAAGAUGAUCAACAGGCACCCAGGAAGGAUGCUGUCUUCAGGUCGGUUGCCCUUGGGAUAUGGCCUUCAGGUUUGUUUUCUGCCGCAGAACACUCAGAAUACUGCUGCCUAGCUUCCCAGACUAUCUUACCCUGUCUUAUUCCUAACCUCACGCUGAUCUGCGUGCAGUGA